AGUCACUGUGCUCUUCAGUAAGGUCAUUCUAGUGCCAAUGUUUGUCUAUGGAGAUUGCAUGGCUGUGUGCUUGAUUUUAGACACCUGUCAGCAAUGGUGUUGCUGAAAUAGCCGAAUCAACUAAUUUGGAGGGGUGUCCACAUACUUAUGUGUAUAUAUAUAUAGUGUAUCUAUCUCAUUCAGUCAAUCUGCCACUGACACUGUAUUCUCUGAGUUCUGAGGUGCCAGAUCUGGUGACAUCUCAGCUGAUCAGCAGUUCAGCUGUGCCUCCCUGUCCUGCCCUGUUCUGUUAUGACUUGCAACUGCCAAUCUUAAUCCCCCCCUUCUUCCUUCUCCUCCUUCUCCUCCUCCCCUGGCUCCUGUCUCUGCAUUCAGUUACCCCUCCUUUCAAAAGCUAAACAUCAAACAGACUAGCUACUGAAAGGCCCAAACUUUCUGCCUUUGCAGCAGACAUAUCUCAUCUCUACACCCCCUCUCAUCUCCUCUCUUCUUGUCUCGUUCCCUUCAUCUGUGUGGAUUUAGAACACACUGCUUUCAUCUCACUCUAUCCUCAUGAAUGGAGAACAGAAAAUGCCUCUGUUGGUAUGAUAUGAGAGAUACACUUCACACUUAGAGAGAGAGAGAGGAGAGGUUUAGUGUUAAGAUGACUCGAUGAGACAGAGGCCUAGCCUUUCCCCUCCAACUAGGCUUUAAGGGGUGAAAGAGAUAGUGAGAGAAGGAUGGAGGAGCUUCAAAGAGGGUGAUUGCUAUAGAAAUAAAGAGAGAGAACGGGCGGGAAAGAGUGCUACAAGGCAGAUGAGGUGAGGGAGAGAGUGUGAAAGAACGGGCGAGAGAAAGCUAGGGAUGCAACAAUUCACCAAUACGCAUCGGCCCCUGAUUCAAAUGUUUAAGAUACAAGUGCAUCGGGCUGCUGACCCCAAACCGAUCCAAAUUAUGUAUGCAUCAAUCCAGUGAUGAUUUUAGCAUGUAAAGCUUGGUGGGGAUUUUUUUUUUUUUUAUGCAUGCUGUUGUGGGUGAAAUUACAAGAGUAUGUUAUAAUACUGUUAUUGCAUCAAAUUAUUGUUUUAUGCAACAGAAUAGGGGCUUCUUAAAACAAUAUUGUGUCUGUGUGAACUGAGAGUGGGCCUCUGGGGCUUAAUGCUGACAGUAGAUUUACGAUGCCUUAGGCCACAUUCAUUCAUGUGAGGGAGAUGGCUACGGUUUGACUGGAAGGUACCAGGGAGAGAUGGCUCGGGUUUGGGUUUCUAGACAAUGAGAACAGUCUAUACAGCAGAUACUGUCUGUUAUGAAUUAUUAGAAUCUUUCAUACAAAUCCUAACCUUGUGACCCAUUCCAUACAUCUGUUGUUUGUCAUGAACAUUCUGAAGGAUGUUCUUUGCUAUAAAAUUCUGUGGCUCAAAAUCCGCUCGUUGGGCUCUCAACGAAUCAUCUAGGGUUGAUUAUUCGACCAGCUUCAUUAUUGCAAUAAUUCAUCUAUGUUUUGAAUAAAGUAAUAUCCUGAUUGGUGAUUGACCUUGUCUCUUCUCAUUAUUGUUUCGAAUUUCC
RNAcentral lists this long non-coding RNA (1545 nucleotides) under Salmo salar (Atlantic salmon). RNAcentral's name for it is "lncRNA (ENSSSAG00000087932.1)". Lineage: Eukaryota; Metazoa; Chordata; Actinopteri; Salmoniformes; Salmonidae. The record is from RNAcentral.